This is a long non-coding RNA of Mustela lutreola (European mink), 1805 nucleotides long. RefSeq lists it as uncharacterized. The record is from RefSeq and is a predicted model, not a curated record. The transcript has 3 exons. NCBI's taxonomy places the organism in Eukaryota, Metazoa, Chordata, Mammalia, Carnivora, Mustelidae.
UAAAGCUUCUUCUCUGACGGAAGACGUUGAAACCAUUGGCUUAACUUCCGCAUCUCUUGCUUUCAACAGUUGAGAAACUCUGCCCGUGGAAAGGAAACAAGGACUUCCCAGCAGCUGAGUCAGCCCCCCUGAAAACAAAAACAAAAACAAAAACACAACCCUGAGGAAGUUUAUGAACGCAGGAAAACCCAAGGGGCCUCCAAGUAGUUUCGGCUACCUCGACCCUCAGAUUUGCAGCGCUGGGACCUGGACCCCUUCCAAGACCCGUUCACUCACCUUGGCCAAGUCUUCAACAUUGAAGGAGGCUGCGUCAGGUGGACACAAGAGAGGCUGAUUCGAGUUGCGCCAGGGAGCUGGCGUCCCUGCCCAGCACUGCCCGCCGUCCCGCAGGGCGUGGGCUUCGUCGAGAGCUUCUCCAGUGAAGACGCUGAUGUGAGCCUCAUCGUUUCAACUCCUGAAAGCAGCUGCUGUUUGGGGCGUCUGGCUGGCUCAGUCGGGGGAGCAUCCGACUCCUGAUUUUGGCUCAGCCCCCGGGAGUACCUGGCCCGCCAAAGCCUGUGCUCCCUGCACAUCAUGCUGCGUGCCACGACCGGGACAAGGCCGACGGCAGGAAGCAGGGACCGGAGCUUCUAGAUGCGCCGCCCGCAUGCAGGUACAUACACGUUAAAACAAUCAGACGGAAGAGGUUCCCACGCCUGCGCAAUGAUACCUUGACUGAGGAAAGGUGACCUGCCCUGGCUGGGGCCAGGGCUCUCCUUAGAUCAAAUGCCAUUUCUGGAAGAGCAGCUGGAAAUACCCUGUGCUUUGUUACCUUUGGGAUUGUCUUCCAUAACAGAAAAGUGUUCAUUGUCCCUUGGAAUGUGCAGGGCUCAAAGGGACAGUCCAACACGGUGACAGACGGUCGGGUUGGCGCCUAUCUCUGCGUACGCCUGUGACUCAAGGUAAUUAUUCAUAAGGCCCCCCUGUCACUCUCAGAAGUGACCCGGUUGGAUGGUAAAUUUUAAGAUCAUCGAUUUGUAAUUGUCGAGAAAGGGGGAGACAACGCCUCUCUGUGGGGACAGACCCCCUGGAGAGCCCGCCUGGGUCCGAGGCAUUAGGUUGAUGGAAGAAGCAGCUUUUCUAAACCCUUCCGAAGAGCUGUCUGCUGCACCCACCCUUCAUGGCUCUGAGCAGCCAGAUACCCCAGCUCCCGAGGCCCCGGGAUGCCCUACCAAAGCCAGGUGGACCUGUUGGCCUUCUCAGCACUCCUGGAUUGGAAACACCACCUUAUGCCUGCCCUCUAGUUGACCCUGAGCUGACCAAGAUUAAACGCUGGUCUUGCUUCUUGGCCUCCAGGCCUCAGGCCUUCUGGUUGUAGGUUCCAGAAAGCAUCAGUGCCCCAUGCUGGUGCAGUGACAGCUCCUAGGGAGGCCCAUUCCACCAUCCUAUGCAGAUUCUCGCCUAGGGAGAUGGGACUGAGAGGAAGUGGCUGGGCAGGGGACCUCGGGGAGUCUCAAAGACCUGACACCCCCAAACUUAGUCCUUUGCCUCCAGCUCCAUGGUCAUGAAGGCUGGUCUAACCCCUCAGCCCUACAAGGUUUCUUCCCGCAGGAGGUGGCCAGGACCAACAGGAGGAUGGGUUUUCCUGAGCAAUCACUGGGGACAGGCCAGCUCUGUGGAGAACAUUCUCAUCUAGGGCCUGAUCUGUGAAGUGACUCUGUAACUCAGCAGCUCUGCCUAAACGCUGUAGAACACACCGAUCACCAUGAGGCUGUCAAAACAUUCAUUUAGCUGAUGAGAAGAGCUUAUUAGGGCUUUUAAAAAUA